Molecule: long non-coding RNA, 3260 nt
Filed under: Heterocephalus glaber (naked mole-rat)
Lineage: Eukaryota; Metazoa; Chordata; Mammalia; Rodentia; Bathyergidae
Description: lncRNA (ENSHGLG00100037198.1)
Source: RNAcentral
UCUCGCUGUGCGCUUCGUCUCACUCCCUGCCAUCUGUGCGCCACCUGCAGUCGCUCGCGGGUGGGUGACGGCCGCGGGAAACAAGCCCGAAAUGAGAUGGGGAAGUUCGCUUCUCUCUCAAGCCUGGCUGCUGUUUCGCCCCCGGGAAUUGGGGGAACAGGUUCCCAGGGUGCUUCUAUUUUCCUGCUCUCCUCGGCGGCUUCCGUCUUCAGCCUUCCGGUCUGUGGCCUAGACAGAAACAGGAAGCAGAGAGGUGGGAAAAUGAAAUAAAGAGGGCAGGGGCUGAGGCAGAGCUGAGCCGUAAAGCACAAGGCCUUGGGUUCCAUCACCAGCAACUCUCUUCCCGCUGCCACAGAAAAGACUUCGUUUGAACGUGUGAUCCUUCUGCCUCAGCCUUCGGAGUAGCUCUGAUUACAGGCAAAUACCACUGCGCCAUUCACUACCAGACCCCAUCAGUUGUGGAGAAGGAAGAGCGCCGUGGGCUGGAGCAAUGGCAGGCAGCCGAGGAAAGACCAGACACCUGUCCAUUCUAAACUCUCCUCACAAAAACAAUCUUGCCAGGUCGGUAUCAUAAUCCCUUUACCCAGAGUAAAACAGGGAGGUCCAGUGACUUGCCCGAUGCCACCCUAAGUGCCAUCCCAAGAUUCCUGAUAAACACUUCCAUGCAGCCUUUGUCGCCCUGGAGAUCAGGGCGCGCCCGUGAUCCGGCCCGGGGUCCUUGGCUCCGGUAGGUGACCACGCUAGCCGGGCCCGCAGAGGGUGGCAGCGCCUCACUCCCAACUCCUCCCCUCUCCCCGCCUCCGGGGGCGGUGCGGCAAAGCGCGGGAAAGCUCAACCUCGGUCCGCCCGCAGGCGCCGGGGGCGGGAGGGGGCGCUCCAAGGGGACGCUCGGGUCCCCGCCGCGCCGGAGGCCCAGCCCCACGCUACCUGCGGUCGGGCCCGGCUGCCCAGCCCCGCCGGCUCUCCCGGAGUCACCUCUGCCCCACUUCCGGUCCGCAAGCCAGGCCCAGCCCCGGGCCCCAGGCCCGUCCAUGUCCCAAAUCCUGUACCAGUCCGAGCUCCCCACAGAGGGAGGAGCCGCAGGUGACGCCCGGCCACACGUCAGAGGCGGUGGGCAGUGGUCAGCAGAUGACGUCAUGCCUGGAGCGUCGGCCCACGCUGCGACAUCUGUGCGGCCACGCUGACGUGGGGCUCGGUCUCCGAGAAAACAGCGCGGCCAGAUCCAGAGUUCUAUGUUCCCUCGCAGUCGGCGCGGUUCUCCUCCAAGCACCCACCGCACCGAAGCUCAGAGUUCUUUAAAUUUGCCUAAGUGAACUGCAGCCUGCAGCCUCGGGCAGCCAAUAGGGCGGAGGGGGCGGAGUCACACCUGGGAGAGUUACCCUGCGGCCCGAGAAGGGGGAAUCAGGCUGGCUUCUUUCGAAGAGCGACAGUAGCGGCGGCCAAUCGCUCUUGAGAGGCGCAGACGGGGCAUGUGGACUUCGGAGCGGCCAAUGGGGAGAGGCUUCUUCAGGGGGCCUAGGCUCCUCGCCCAAUGAGGAUGAGCGGAAUCCACGGGGCUAGUUCCGAGCGACAGUACUUAAGACCAACCCAGCGCGAGGUGGGGCGGGGCGCAUACCUGAACGACGGGGGAACUGACCAAUGGCGAGUAUGGAAGCGGGCAGCUCAGGCCAGGGGCGCGGAGGGAGCGCAGGGAGGAGGGAGGAGGGAGGCCGAACCGUAGAGAAGCAGGAAGUAGCGGCGGCCCCGGGGAGGGCGGCGGCGGCUGCUGCUGGAGCUGGGUAGAGACGGCUGCGUCUCGGCCCGCACUAAAACGGAGCAAGUCUGGGACCUGCCGCUAUGGGGGACAUGAAGACCCCUGAUUUUGAUGACCUCCUUGCUGCCUUUGACAUCCCUGACAUCGAUGCAAAUGAAGCUAUACACUCUGGGCCAGAAGAAAGUGAGGGGCCCGGAGGCCCGGAAGCCAGAGCCCAGUGUGGGAGGAGAAACUGAAGGCACAGCAGCAGCAGCUGAGGAUGACCCCGAGGUUCCAGGUGCCAUACCUCUGAGCACGGCCUGCAGUGCCAGACACUUCCACAGUCAGCGUCAUCGUGAAGAACACUGUGUGUCCGGAGCAGUCUGAGACCCUGGCUGGGGGUGCAGGAAGGGGAAGGGCCCAGGCUGGGGGAGUAACCAAGGAAGAUGCUUCAGGGGCUUCUCUGAUGCGAGGAUGGAUUUGGGGUCUGUGAACCAUCCCUUCCAGGAGCCCCACCCUCCCCAGCUCCUUCCAGUGAGGGUACCUGGAAGGAAAAAGCUGUGGAAGGCAAAGCCCCCUUGGACCUCUUUGCUCAUUUUGGUCCUGAGCCAGGGAGCACCCAGACCCCCUGCCUCCUCCUGCGCCCUCCCCCACCUCCUGACGGGGCCAUGAGCCCUCCUCCUUUCCCCUCACCCCUUUGAGCUGGCCCAGGAGAAUGGCCCCACGCUGUUGCCACCUAGCUCUUCCCCACAGUCUGGGGCCCUUGAAGCAGGGGCUGCUGCAGCCCACUUCAUCCCCAGGGCCAAGGCCAGCGAGGCUCAGGCUCUAGUCCUGAGGCCACAGGCAUCCCUGAAGGAACCUCGCCUCCCCAGGUUGAUGGGGUGCCCUUUUUUCAAGCAGUCCCCAGGGCACCAGAGCCCUCCUGCCUCUCCUGACGUGCCCAGCUCUAAGCACCUGAAGGAAGAUGAGGGGCUGGUGGUCAAGUCUCCCCCCUCGAAGUCCCCAGAGUCCCUCUAGUGGUGCCGAGGCUGCAGAUGAGGACAGCAACGACUCCCUGCCUCCUCCAACUCCUCUCGGCCCCUCAAGGUGCGGAUCAAGACCAUUAAGACAUCCUGUGGGAAUAUCACGAGGACUGUAACCCGGGUCCCCUCAGACCCUGACCGCCCUGCCCCUUGGCCGAGGGGGGCCUUCCUGGCCGAGGCUGAGCCUCCUGAAGCUGUCCCCUGCGGCUCCAGCCCCCGAGGCCCCGAAGGUGGUGAGUGUGCAGCUGGGCGACGGCACAAGGCUGAAAGGCACAGUGCUGCCCGUGGCCACCAUCCAGAACGCCAGCACUGCCAUGCUGAUGGCAGCUAGUGCUGGCCCGAAAGGCUGUGGUUCUGCCUGGGGGCUCUGCCACCAGCCCGAAGAUGAUGGCUAAGAACGUUCUAGGCCUGGUGCCCCAAACCCUGCCCAAAGCUGAAGGGCGUAAGGGGCUGGGGACCGGGGGUCAGAAGGUGAACAGGGCCUCAGUGGUGAUGGUGCAGCCGCC